This 440-nucleotide ribosomal RNA is filed under the name uncultured bacterium. RNAcentral describes it as "bacterial SSU rRNA". It matches the Rfam family "Bacterial small subunit ribosomal RNA", at positions 338 to 770 of the family's 1533-position model. The record is from RNAcentral.
CCUACGGGAGGCAGCAGUGGGGAAUAUUGGACAAUGGGGGAAACCCUGAUCCAGCGACGCCGCGUGUGUGAAGAAGGCCUGCGGGUUGUAAAGCACUUUUAGUGGGGAUGAAAAGCUCAGGGCUAAUACCCUUGGGUCUUGACCUAACCCACAGAAAAAGCACCGGCUAACUCUGUGCCAGCAGCCGCGGUAAUACAGAGGGUGCGAGCGUUAAUCGGAAUUACUGGGCGUAAAGCGUGCGUAGACGGUUACGUAAGUCGGGUGUGAAAGCCCCGGGCUCAACCUGGGAAUUGCAUUCGAGACUGUGUAGCUAGGGUGCGGAAGAGGGAAGCGGAAUUUCCGGUGUAGCGGUGAAAUGCGUAGAUAUCGGAAGGAACAUCAGUGGCGAAAGCGGCUUCCUGGUCCAGCACCGACGUUCAGGCACGAAAGCGUGGGGAGCA